GUCUAAGGUCGUAGGAGGUUAUACAGGCAAAUCCGUAUAACAAUACUCCGAGAACUGAAAGGCUUUUUGAAGUCUUCGGAUGGAUAGAAGAACCCCUGAUGCCGUCGAGCCAAGAAAAGUUUCUAAGUUUAGCUAAUGUUGCCCGUACCGUAAACCGACACAGGUGGGUGGGAUGAGUAUUCUAAGGCGCGUGGAAGAACUCUCUUUAAGGAACUCUGCAAAAUAGCACCGUAUCUUCGGUAUAAGGUGUGGUUAGCUUCGUACUAGGAUUUACUCCGAAAGCGAAGAAACUUACAACAAAGAGUCCCUCCCGACUGUUUACCAAAAACACAGCACUCUGCUAACUCGUAAGAGGAUGUAUAGGGUGUGACGCCUGCCCGGUGCUCGAAGGUUAAUUGAUGGGGUUAGCAUUAGCGAAGCUCUUGAUCGAAGCCCGAGUAAACGGCGGCCGUAACUAUAACGGUCCUAAGGUAGCGAAAUUCCUUGUCGGUUAAAUACCGACCUGCAUGAAUGGCGUAACGAGAUGGGAGCUGUCUCAAAGAGGGAUCCAGUGAAAUUGUAGUGGAGGUGAAAAUUCCUCCUACCCGCGGCAAGACGGAAAGACCCCGUGGACCUUUACUACAGCUUGACACUGCUACUUGGAUAAGAAUGUGCAGGAUAGGUGGGAGGCUUUGAGUAUAUGACGCCAGUUGUAUAUGAGCCAUUGUUGAGAUACCACUCUUUCUUAUUUGGGUAGCUAACCAGCUUGAGUUAUCCUCAAGUGGGACAAUGUCUGGUGGGUAGUUUGACUGGGGCGGUCGCCUCCCAAAUAAUAACGGAGGCUUACAAAGGUUGGCUCAGAACGGUUGGAAAUCGUUCGUAGAGUAUAAAGGUAUAAGCCAGCUUAACUGCAAGACAUACAAGUCAAGCAGAGACGAAAGUCGGUCUUAGUGAUCCGGUGGUUCUGUGUGGAAGGGCCAUCGCUCAAAGGAUAAAAGGUACCCCGGGGAUAACAGGCUGAUCUCCCCCAAGAGCUCACAUCGACGGGGAGGUUUGGCACCUCGAUGUCGGCUCAUCGCAUCCUGGGGCUGGAGCAGGUCCCAAGGGUAUGGCUGUUCGCCAUUUAAAGCGGUACGCGAGCUGGGUUCAGAACGUCGUGAGACAGUUCGGUCCCUAUCUGCCGUGGGCGUAAGAAGAUUGAAGAGAUUUGACCCUAGUACGAGAGGACCGGGUUGAACAAACCACUGGUGUAGCUGUUGUUCUGCCAAGAGCAUCGCAGCGUAGCUAAGUUUGGAAAGGAUAAACGCUGAAAGCAUCUAAGCGUGAAGCCAACUCUAAGAUGAAUCUUCUCUAAGCUCUCUAGAAGACUACUAGUUUGAUAGGCUGGGUGUGUAAUGGAUGAAAGUCCUUUAGCUGACCAGUACUAAUAGAGCGUUUGGCUUAUCUUUAAUAAAGCAU
Molecule: ribosomal RNA, 1437 nt
Filed under: Campylobacter jejuni
Lineage: Bacteria; Pseudomonadati; Campylobacterota; Epsilonproteobacteria; Campylobacterales; Campylobacteraceae
Description: partial 23S ribosomal RNA
Rfam family: Bacterial large subunit ribosomal RNA
Source: RNAcentral